RNAcentral lists this ribosomal RNA (497 nucleotides) under uncultured bacterium. Its description in RNAcentral is "partial 16S ribosomal RNA". It matches the Rfam family "Bacterial small subunit ribosomal RNA", at positions 28 to 507 of the family's 1533-position model. The record is from RNAcentral.
GAUGAACGCUGGCGGCGUGCCUAAUACAUGCAAGUUGAGCGAACAGAUGAGGAGCUUGUUCCUCUUACAUUAGCGGCGGACGGGUGAGUAACACGUGGAUAACCUACCUAUAAGACUGGGAUAACUUCUGGAAACCGGUGCUAAUACCGGAUAAUAUAUUUAAACGCAUGGUUCAAGAUUGAAAGACGGUAUUGCUUUAAUUAAUAAAGGUAUCGGGUCCGAAUUAGCUGGUGGGGAAGGAAACGGCUUACCAAGGGAAGAAUGAUUACCCGCCCUAAGAGGUUGUUGGCCAACAUUGGACCUGAGCCACGCUCCAGCUCCCUCCGGGAGCAAGCAGUAGGGAACCUCCCGCAAUGAGGGAAAGCUUGACGGAGCAACGCCGCGGGAGUAAUGAAGGCUUUCGAAUCUAAAAACUCUUUUAUUAAGGAAAACCAUAUGUGUAGGUAACUGUGCACCUAUUGACGGUACCUAACCAGAAAGCCACGGCUAACUACGUG